RNAcentral lists this ribosomal RNA (433 nucleotides) under uncultured bacterium. Its description in RNAcentral is "partial 16S ribosomal RNA". It matches the Rfam family "Bacterial small subunit ribosomal RNA", at positions 29 to 507 of the family's 1533-position model. The record is from RNAcentral.
AACGAACGCUGGCGGCAUGCCUAACACAUGCAAGUCGAACGAGACCUUCGGGUCUAGUGGCGCACGGGUGCGUAACGCGUGGGAACCUGCCCUUAGGUUCGGAAUAACUCCCCGAAAGGGGUGCUAAUACCGGAUAAUGUCUUCGGACCAAAGAUUUAUCGCCUUUGGAUGGGCCCGCGUUGGAUUAGCUAGUUGGUAGGGUAAAAGCCUACCAAGGCGACGAUCCAUAGCUGGUCUGAGAGGAUGAUCAGCCACACUGGGACUGAGACACGGCCCAGACUCCUACGGGAGGCAGCAGUGGGGGAUAUUGGACAAUGGGGGAAGGCCUGAUCCAGCAAUGCCGCGUGAGUGAUGAAGGCCUUAGGGUUGUAAAGCUCUUUUACCCGGGAUGAUAAUGACAGUACCGGGAGAAUAAGCUCCGGCUAACUCCGUG